Molecule: long non-coding RNA, 612 nt
Filed under: Mus musculus (house mouse)
Lineage: Eukaryota; Metazoa; Chordata; Mammalia; Rodentia; Muridae
Description: RIKEN cDNA 6720468P15 gene
Source: RNAcentral
GGGGUUUGUUGACCUUAGUCUAUACUUACGGCUUCCCAACUGAGACCAGAAACACAAAGAAAAAGACGAAGGAAAAGAAGGGCAGGAAGAAGAGAGAGAGGUGAGAAGAGAAGGGUGGAUGAGGCCAGUUUGGCAAACUCUUGAACGUCUGAAGCUCAUGGGAAGCGCUGAGUACAUUUUGAUCCUUCUGCUUUCUCAUAUGCUCGGACAGUCUCACAGUAAAAAGCAUUGAUUAUAUUUUCAGCAACACACCUGUCCCUGGACUCUGGGACUUGAAAUAACCUCUGCCAGACAGCACCAUGGUGGGAGCAUUCGCACCGUAAGUCAAGGAAGCAAGAGGUACAAAGCCAGGCUCACUCAUAAUUAUUGUCUGCUUUCUGCAAACUGACUAGAAGCCCAGGAAAGCUAAGCUGAUCCCUUCCGAGACAGCACUGGGUGGCAUAACCGCCUUAUUCCUGGGUCCCUCCACAAUGUCACACUGAAGACCACGCCUCCAGCGCAUGUUCAAGCCAGCUCCCAACCAGAGCUGCCUCAACUUAAGACUUGUGGACUCUCCCCUCUGUGCUGCUGGAGGUACGUGAGGUCUGGGCAGAGGCAGGUAUGGAAAUCCAC